RNAcentral lists this ribosomal RNA (1327 nucleotides) under uncultured archaeon. RNAcentral's name for it is "partial 16S ribosomal RNA". It matches the Rfam family "Archaeal small subunit ribosomal RNA". The record is from RNAcentral.
AUUGCUCAGUAACACGUGGAUAACCUACCCUUAGGACCGGGAUAACCUUGGGAAACUGAGGAUAAUACUGGAUAGGCAAUUCUUCCUGUAAUGGUUUUUUGUUUAAAUGUUUUUUCGCCUAAGGAUGGGUCUGCGGCCGAUUAGGUAGUUGGUUAGGUAAUGGCUUACCAAGCCGUUGAUCGGUACGGGUUGUGAGAGCAAGAGCCCGGAGAUGGAACCUGAGACAAGGUUCCAGGCCCUACGGGGCGCAGCAGGCGCGAAACCUCCGCAAUGUGAGAAAUCGCGACGGGGGGAUCCCAAGUGCCAUUCUUAACAGGAUGGCUUUUCAUUAGUGUAAAGAGCUUUUGGAAUAAGGGCUGGGUAAGACGGGUGCCAGCCGCCGCGGCAAUACCCGCAGCCCAAGUGGUGGUCGAUUUUAUUGAGUCUAAAACGUUCGUAGCCGGUUCAUUAAAUCCUUGGGUAAAUCGGAUGGCUUAACUAUCCGAAUUCCGGGGAGACUGGUGAACUUGGGACCGGGAGAGGCAAGAGGUACUUUUGGGGUAGGGGUAAAAUCCUGUAAUCCUAAAAGGACCACCGGUGGCGAAGGCGUCUUGCUAGAACGGAUCCGACGGUGAGGGACGAAGCCCUGGGUCGCAAACGGGAUUAGAUACCCCGGUAGUCCAGGGUGUAAACGCUGCAGACUUGGUGUUGGGGACCCUUCGGGGGUGUUCAGUGCCGGAGAGAAGUUGUUAAGUCUGCUACUUGGGGAGUACGUCCGCAAGGAUGAAACUUAAAGGAAUUGGCGGGGGAGCACCGCAACGGGAGGAACGUGCGGUUUAAUUGGAUUCAACACCGGAAAACUCACCAGCAGCGACUAUUACAUGAAAGUCAGGCCGAUGACCUUACUAGAUUUUUAGAGAGGUGGUGCAUGGCCGUCGUCAGUUCGUACCGUAAGGCGUUCUCUUAAGUGAGAUAACGAACGAGACCCUCACCAAUAAUUGCUACUGCGUCGUCCGCGGCGUAGGCACAUUAUUGGGACCGCUGGCGCUAAGUCAGAGGAAGGAGAGGUCAACGGUAGGUCAGUAUGCCCCGAAUCUGCUGGGCUACGCGCGCGUUACAAAGGGCGGGACAAUGGGCUCCGACACCGAAAGGUGAAGGCAAUCUCGAAACCCGUCCGUAGUUCGGAUUGAGGGUUGUAACUCACCCUCAUGAAGCUGGAUUCCGUAGUAAUCGCGAAUCAACAACUCGCGGUGAAUAUGCCCCUGCUCCUUGCACACACCGACACACCGAGCUGCUCAGUAACACGUGGCCACACUGCGCGAGACUUACGGAGCUCCUUGCACACACA